ACCGCGGUUAUACAAAUAAUACAAGUAAAAUUUAUUAGUAAUAGUUAAUUUGUUUUAAUAAAAUUUAAUUUAGAUUUUUUAAGUGAAAUUUUAAAUUUAAUUAAUUUUAUAUUUAUUUUAAAUGAAGCUAGAAAUUUUUAAUUAUAAACUAGGAUUAGAUACCCUAUUAUUUAAAGAGUAAUUGUUAAUACUUGAGUAGUAAUAGUUAUGAUCUUCAAACUUAAAGAAUUUGGCGGUGUUUUAGUCUAUUUAGAGGAAUCUGUUCUGUAAUCGAUAAUCCACGUUGGACCUUACUAAAAUUUGUAUUUAAUUUGUAUAUCGCCGUUAUCAGAAUAUCUUAAAAGAGAAAUAAUUUUCUUAAUUUAUAAAUAUAAUUGAUGUCAGGUCAAGGUGCAGUUUAUGUUUUAGUAGAAAUGGAUUACAAUAAAUUUAUUUAUACAGUAAAUUAUUUGAAAUAAUAAUUUUAAGGUGGAUUUAAAAGUAAAAUAAUAGAUAUUAUUUAUUUGAUUAUAGCUCUAAAACAUGCACAC
This 530-nucleotide ribosomal RNA is filed under the name Simulium trangense. Its description in RNAcentral is "partial 12S ribosomal RNA". Lineage: Eukaryota; Metazoa; Arthropoda; Insecta; Diptera; Simuliidae. The record is from RNAcentral.